UACGGGGGGGCAAGCGUUGUUCGGAAUUACUGGGCGUAAAGGGCGCGUAGGCGGUUUGCUAAGUUGAAUGUGAAAACUCUGGGCUUAACCCAGAGCCUGCAUUCAAUACUGGCAGGCUAGAGUUCUGGAGGGGAUAGCGGAAUUCCUGGUGUAGCGGUGAAAUGCGUAGAUAUCAGGAGGAACACCGGUGGCGAAGGCGGCUAUCUGGACAGAGUCUGACGCUGAGGCGCGAAAGCUAGGGGAGCAAACAGG
RNAcentral lists this ribosomal RNA (252 nucleotides) under uncultured bacterium. RNAcentral's name for it is "partial 16S ribosomal RNA". It matches the Rfam family "Bacterial small subunit ribosomal RNA", at positions 524 to 776 of the family's 1533-position model. The record is from RNAcentral.